Non-coding RNA from Candidatus Curtissbacteria bacterium, 85 nucleotides. The record is from Rfam. NCBI's taxonomy places the organism in Bacteria, Candidatus Curtissiibacteriota.
ACCCGGGUGGUGAAAUUGGCAGACACGCUGGUUUUAGGAACCAGUGCUCCAAAAGAGCUUGGGAGUUCGAAUCUCCCCCCGGGUA